UACAGAGGGUGCGAGCGUUAAUCGGAAUUACUGGGCGUAAAGGGCGCGUAGGCGGCCUUCUAAGUCAGACGUGAAAUCCCCCGGCUUAACCUGGGAACUGCGUCUGAUACUGGGAGGCUAGAGUGCGGGAGAGGGAUGCGGAAUUCCAGGUGUAGCGGUGAAAUGCGUAGAUAUCUGGAGGAACACCGGUGGCGAAGGCGGCAUCCUGGACCGACACUGACGCUGAGGCACGAAAGCUAGGGUAGCAAACGGG
RNAcentral lists this ribosomal RNA (253 nucleotides) under uncultured bacterium. RNAcentral describes it as "partial 16S ribosomal RNA". It matches the Rfam family "Bacterial small subunit ribosomal RNA", at positions 524 to 776 of the family's 1533-position model. The record is from RNAcentral.